RNAcentral lists this long non-coding RNA (626 nucleotides) under Brassica napus (rape). Its description in RNAcentral is "long non-coding RNA (BNAP_LNC005562)". Lineage: Eukaryota; Viridiplantae; Streptophyta; Magnoliopsida; Brassicales; Brassicaceae. The record is from RNAcentral.
UAAGUUUUAUUUUUUCGUAUUUUUAUUCUACUUUAGAAAGGUUUCUCGGGAACUUUUCGGUAUUGAUUACGUCAUGAACGAUUUUGACCCAACACAAGUACUACAAUUGAAUUUCUUAUUUGAGAGAGUAAAAUUCACUCCUUGGGAUAAUUUGAGUGAUAUCGGUCCUCCUCUGGUACGUGUGCAGCAGCGAAAAAAAAUCAAAUUGAUGAGAAAGACGACAGCGUGAGUCCUGCGGUUAUUUACUCCUUCAUGCAAGCAGAUGGUCUUACAAAGACUGUUGCAUAGAUGUUAAGUGAAAUUCUGAAAGCUAAGACUAUUGCGUAGAUUAAGUGCAAUUCUGAAAGCUAAUUAACUGUGUGAGUUGUAUCAUCAUAUUUACUUACAAAAUUUGUUUGACACAUGAAAAUUUUGCUACCGUACCGUGAAGUGUUCUUAUGUUAGUGUUGUAUAGGCAAAUACGGUUAUUGAUUUAUGCAUUGUAGAAUAUUGCGAAGGUUCAUGAUAAGAUAUAUAUGUUAGAAGACAUGUCUUAUUUUAUUUCAAUAUAUGUUACAUCAGAACAAACUAGUUCCAUGAUAAGACAUAUAUGUGAGAAGACUCUACUAACAAUAGCACUACGUCUC